RNAcentral lists this ribosomal RNA (308 nucleotides) under Desmocerus californicus californicus. RNAcentral describes it as "partial small subunit ribosomal RNA". The record is from RNAcentral. Lineage: Eukaryota; Metazoa; Arthropoda; Insecta; Coleoptera; Cerambycidae.
UAAAGAUUUUGGCGGUAUUUUAGUCUAUUCAGAGGAAUCUGUCCUAUAAUUGAUAAUCCACGAUUUAACUUACUUUUAAAAAAAAUUUAUAUAUCGUCGUAGUUUGAAUAUUUUAAAAGAAUUUUAAUGUUCAAAAUUUUUUAUAAAAUUAAAUCAGAUCAAGGUGUAGUUUAUAUAAAAGAAGAGAUGGAUUACAUUAAAUUUAUUUAAGAAUUAAUUUUUGUAAAAUUUUAUGAAUAUGGAUUUGAUAGUAAUUUUUUAAAAAUUUUAAAAAUGAUUUUAGCUCUAAAAUAUGUACACAUCGCCCG